GAUGAACGCUAGCGGCAGGCUUAAUACAUGCAAGUCGAACGGUAAAUAUUAUAGCAAUAUAGUAUGAGAGUGACGUACGGGUGCGUAACACGUAUGCAACCUACCCAAAACUGGAGUAUAGCUCGGGGAAACUCGAAUUAACCCUCCAUAAGAUGUUAGUGUGGCAUCACACAGACAUUAAAAUACAAGUGGUUUUAGAUGGGCAUGCGUCUGAUUAGUUAGUUGGCGGGGAACGCCCACCAAGACGAUGAUCAGUAGGGGAACUGAGAGGUUCGAUCCCCCANACUGGCACUGAGAUACGGGCCAGACUCCUACGGGAGGCAGCAGUAGGGAAUAUUGGUCAAUGGGUGAGAGCCU
RNAcentral lists this ribosomal RNA (357 nucleotides) under uncultured bacterium. RNAcentral describes it as "bacterial SSU rRNA". It matches the Rfam family "Bacterial small subunit ribosomal RNA", at positions 28 to 384 of the family's 1533-position model. The record is from RNAcentral.